AGCGUGUUUUCACUUUAGUAUCUCCGGCUGCUUCUCCAUCUCUGCAAUUUUGGAAUUGAAUGUUUUCGAUCAAUAAAGAUGGAACACUUCAAGGAAAGGUUAACCACGGGGGCUCGGAGACGCAAACACUUGCAUGACUCGACUUUGGGGAGAUUACAGCUAAGGCUUUAGUCGCCACCGUUGAGAGUGAAGCAGGAAGUAGAAACUAAAAUUAACCUGACUAGAAAAAAUUCUCAGUGCUGACUAAGGUUUUUACAAAGGGAGACAGACUGAGAAGCGCACAAGUAUAAAUGGUUUGUGAAGGCUACAUGCAUAAACUGCGGUCUCUAUGUCCAUCAGUACACUAAAAGUGCCUUAACGUGGAGGAGGUGGAGCUUAUGACCUGUAUUGUACCUAACCCUAACCGUAAGCCUCGCUCUAAUCAUAACCCUAGCCACUAACCCUAUGCCCCCUUUAACAUGGUUUUUCCAUUGGUUUUUCCUCUUAAAUAUCUGCAGUGUCUUCCACUUCCUGGUCUGUUGCAUUCUGGGUACUUCAAACGUCUCUCUUUUGAUGGUUCAUUUUGGCUGCCUUUUGGAUUUAAGAUCUUAGUGUCACAUAUUGGACGAGCCGUCUCAUAGUGCCGCUUCCAUUUUUAUGCUUUGUAUACAUACUUUUCACUGUUUUGAAAUUUCAACAUGUUCAACCAUGAUUGUACCCCGUUACCUGCAGUGACUCCUUCUCAGAUGGGUGACUUCACAUUCCACUAAAUGUUUAAGAUAACUGUUUCUUUAUUCUUCCCCAUAGAAAUGACCUGUCCAUGGGAUGUCAGCUACUAUAUACAAUCAAUGGGUAACAGUGGAGGAGAGCUGAUCUUUGCUCUGAUUGGCUGGACUGGUGCAACCUAGCGGUGCUAACCAACAGUCUUUGCUGGUCAGGUGGUCGUAGGAGGAAAAAUCAGAAGAGUUCAGCUAUGAACAACAUCACAUUAGACACCACUCAGAGUCUGAGAGACCUGCAGCUGGAACUGGAACUGGAACUGGAAAUUCUGGUGGAUCCAGUACUGAAAGACUGCAUCUGCACUUCUGGCGAUCUGGUGGCAGCUGUACUCUUCCUAACUGAGAAUCUGUAUCUUCAAGUUUUUUUCCUGCAUUAGGUUUCUUGUUUUAGCCAUUUUUGUUUCUG
This is a long non-coding RNA of Mugil cephalus (flathead mullet), 1164 nucleotides long. RefSeq lists it as uncharacterized. The transcript is spliced from 3 exons. NCBI's taxonomy places the organism in Eukaryota, Metazoa, Chordata, Actinopteri, Mugiliformes, Mugilidae. The record is from RefSeq and is a predicted model, not a curated record.